CUGACGAGUGGCGGACGGGUGAGUAAUGUCUGGGAAACUGCCCGAUGAAGGGGGAUAACUACUGGAAACGGUAGCUAAUACCGCAUAACGUCUUCGGACCAAAGAGGGGGACCUUCGGGCCUCUUGCCAUCGGAUGUGCCCAGAUGGGAUUAGCUAGUAGGUGGGGUAACGGCUCACCUAGGCGACGAUCCCUAGCUGGUCUGAGAGGAUGACCAGCCACACUGGAACUGAGACACGGUCCAGACUCCUACGGGAGGCAGCAGUGGGGAAUAUUGCACAAUGGGCGCAAGCCUGAUGCAGCCAUGCCGCGUGUAUGAAGAAGGCCUUCGGGUUGUAAAUACCUUUCAGCGGGGAGGAAGGGAGUGAGGUUAAUAACCUCAUUCAUUGACGUUACCCGCACAAGAAGCACCGGCUAACUCCGUGCCAGCAGCCGCGGUAAUACGGAGGGUGCAAGCGUUAAUCGGAAUUACUGGGCGUAAAGCGCACGCAGGCUGUCUGUCAAGUCGGAUGUGAAAUCCCCGGGCUCAACCUGUGAACUGCAUUCGAAACUGGGAGGCUCGAGUCUCGUAGAGGGGGGUAGAAUUCCAGGUGUAGCGGUGAAAUGCGUAGAGAUCUGGACGAAUACCGGUGGCGAAAGCGGCCCCCUGCACGAAGACUGACGCUCAGGUGCGAAAGCGUGGGGAGCAUACAGGAUUAGAUA
RNAcentral lists this ribosomal RNA (700 nucleotides) under uncultured bacterium. RNAcentral describes it as "bacterial SSU rRNA". It matches the Rfam family "Bacterial small subunit ribosomal RNA", at positions 88 to 784 of the family's 1533-position model. The record is from RNAcentral.